Molecule: unclassified non-coding RNA, 1530 nt
Filed under: Hevea brasiliensis (rubber tree)
Lineage: Eukaryota; Viridiplantae; Streptophyta; Magnoliopsida; Malpighiales; Euphorbiaceae
Source: RNAcentral
UCUACAACGUCCACCUCACCAAUCCGUACAAUCUCAUUAAUAGGACAACUAUUACAGUGGGACGAUGACUCAAGGAUGUUGCCACCAAGAUUGUCGUCGCCUUGUCAUUGUUCUCCAGUCCCAAUGUGGUUCCCCACUUCAUCCUCCCGAGCUGCUAAUUCAUCGUAAAAAUUCAUGUCAUCAUGAGCAGAACCAUCGGAAAAAUUCACAUCAUCGUGAUCAGAAUCACCAAUUGCCUUGCUGAGAUUUUUCCCUACGUCAGCACUAAUGUUUGAGGAUUCCCCAUCGUCAUCUUCACAGCUUGAUGAUGGACUUUCUCUUUUACGAUUUUGUGGGAACUGCUUGUAGAGCUCAGAACAUGAUUCCUCAAAAGCUUUGAUGUGGUAUCGAGUGUUGUCAAUAUCAAUUGCUAUUAUCUUAUCAAUAUGACCUUGAUGAUCUAUUAGGAGCAAAAUCCUCGCAGCAUCUAACUUGUUUCUUGAUAGAUUGGCUCCGUGUACUGCAAUGAAAGUUCCACACAAAUUCCCUACCCAUUGGAAGAAAUGGCUGGACCAUGAAUUCAGUGGUAUACCCUGUAACCUCAACCAUAUAAGGCGAUCCGAUGGAGUAUAGAGUGCCUGCCAUGGUUUAAUAUCAUAUAGCCACUGAUUUAACCAAUCCUUAUUCUCAACUACCAAUCCCUCCAUUAGUUCCUUUUUCUCAAAAGUUAAGAGGACUUUAUCACCCCCAUUGGGGUUACUUUAAUAUAAGGAACACUUGCAGCUAUGAAGUGGUCCUCCAAAUUAGUGACAGAGUGAACAUGUUGCAGAGUGGCUAUGACAGAACGAGAAAGCCAGUCUCCACUCUCUUUUAAUACUUCCUCAGGAAUAUUAUAUUUUCCAGCCACUGGAUAUUGCUCAGAUGAUCUUGAUUGACUAGAACAUCAGUCAAACACUUUGGCAUCAUUGUUACCGUUUUGAGCCGAGGUUGCAGAUCUCGCUUGCUGUUUGCCUUUUCUAAAGGUAGAUGAUUGAUUCCUCGCGAAUCUUGAGUAAAAAAGCCCUUAGCUUAAAACUACCAAUCCAUAAAUUGUUGAUGAUGUUUAAGAGGCUGCAUGCCUGUGAAGAAGAUGGAGCCCUUAUGAAGCCAAAAUGUCUCCCCCUGCGACUAAGUUUAUUUGGAAUAUAUACUUCCAAAAUGGUGUCAAACCUGGAAAAGGUAGACCAUAGAGUCUUUGCAUUCCAGCCUGGAGGAAAGUUUUCAAGGUAGAUGGUGGUUGGGUUUUGAUUUUGGGUGGGAGGUCUCCGGUUUUAAAAUGGAUUCGGAUUUAGUGUUUCCCUCUCUGGUUGUGGAGGCUUUGAUGGGUUUCGACUGUUUAUGGUAAUGUGUUCUAGGUAGCGAGGGGGAGGGAGGUGUUGAGGGGAGGAAGGAUAAAUGUCAGCCACUAUUUUAUUUGGUGUUGCAGAGAAGGAGAGUGAGCAGCAAAAAUAUUUUGAGGAAAGCAAAGCUUCUGCUACAAGACUCUCAUCUUCUCCUUGCUCUAACCAGUGG